UGGGGAAUCUUAGACAAUGGGGGAAACCCUGAUCUAGCCAUGCCGCGUGAUCGAUGAAGGCCUUAGGGUUGUAAAGAUCUUUCAGAUGGGAAGAUAAUGACGGUACCAUCAGAAGAAGCCCCGGCUAACUCCGUGCCAGCAGCCGCGGUAAUACGGAGGGGGCUAGCGUUAUUCGGAAUUACUGGGCGUAAAGCGCACGUAGGCGGGGCGGAAAGUCAGAGGUGAAAUCCCAGGGCUCAACCUUGGAACUGCCUUUGAAACUCCCGCUCUUGAGGUUGUGAGAGGUGAGUGGAAUUCCGAGUGUAGAGGUGAAAUUCGUAGAUAUUCGGAGGAACACCAGUGGCGAAGGCGGCUCACUGGCACGAUACUGACGCUGAGGUGCGAAAGCGUGGGGAGCAAA
RNAcentral lists this ribosomal RNA (400 nucleotides) under uncultured bacterium. RNAcentral's name for it is "bacterial SSU rRNA". It matches the Rfam family "Bacterial small subunit ribosomal RNA", at positions 355 to 772 of the family's 1533-position model. The record is from RNAcentral.